GACGAACGCUGGCGGCAUGCCUAAUACAUGCAAGUCGAACGAUGAUAUUCUCUGCUUGCAGAGAAUUGAAGAGUAGCGAACGGGUGAGUAACACGUGGGGAACCUGCCCAUGAGAGGGGGAUAACAUUCGGAAACGGAUGCUAAUACCGCAUAAUCCUUUGGACCGCCUGGUCCAGAGACGAAAGACGGCUUUUGCUGUCAGUCAUGGAUGUCCCCGGGCCGUAUUAGCUAGUUGGUGAGGUAAUGGCUCACCAAAGCUGUGAUACGUAGCCGACCUGAGAGGGUGAUCGGCCACACUGGGACUGAGACACGGCCCAGACUCCUACGGGAGGCAGCAGUAGGGAAUCUUCCACAAUGGGCGAAAGCCUGAUGGAGCAAUGCCGCGUGAAUGAAGAAGGUCUUCGGAUCGUAAAGUUCUGUUAUUAGAGAAGAACAAGUCAAGGAGUAACUGUCUUGACUUUGACGGUACCUAACCAGAAAGUAACGGCUAACUACGUG
Molecule: ribosomal RNA, 498 nt
Filed under: uncultured bacterium
Lineage: Bacteria
Description: partial 16S ribosomal RNA
Rfam family: Bacterial small subunit ribosomal RNA
Source: RNAcentral